GGCGUGGCUCAAUGGUAGAGUAGAAGCUUACCAAGCCUAUGAUGAGGCUUCGAUUUCCUUAUCCCCG
This 67-nucleotide transfer RNA is filed under the name Nitrosomonadales bacterium. Its description in RNAcentral is "tRNA-Gly". The record is from RNAcentral. Lineage: Bacteria; Pseudomonadati; Pseudomonadota; Betaproteobacteria; Nitrosomonadales.